Macadamia integrifolia is the source of this 933-nucleotide long non-coding RNA. RefSeq lists it as uncharacterized. The record is from RefSeq and is a predicted model, not a curated record. Lineage: Eukaryota; Viridiplantae; Streptophyta; Magnoliopsida; Proteales; Proteaceae. The transcript has 4 exons.
CGCCGACUACCCUAAUGUAAGGAGGUUUGGGGUUGAGGGAGGUUCAUCUCCAUCUGAUAUGACGGCCGCUACCGUCGUUGCUUUUCCUGGAAGGAAGCUCUCUUGAGGCUCAUCUUCUUCAAUCGUUCUCCAUCUCAAGCUUUAGCAUCAAGCCUGGUGGAGUUGUCCUGGGGAACUUGCAUGAAAUCGAAUCAACGAUUUACCAGAAGAUUAAAAGGCAGGAAGCAGUGAGAACUAGUGGUUAUCAGAAAUUGAAGGCGAGUCUUUGGAGAAUGGAGUUCAUGGCCGUGAGAUGGAGAUGGAUUUUCCAUCUUCAAGCAAAUCUCUGAGAUUUGCCCCUAGACCAGGUUAUGGACAAGUAGGGACAAAGUGUAUAGUAAAUGCGAACCUGAAGUUGUAUUCAUCGAAACUUCCUUCAUAUAAUUCAUUGUUGCAAUUGCAGAAGCUAUGGAGUAGGAUUUUCUUUAUCAAUGUCGGAUGGUGACCAUAACUCCUGAGGUUGUAUCAAGAAAUUUAAACAGAGCUAUCAUGGCAGAGCUUGUGAAAUUGUACGAAGGUUCGACCUGGGAAUGAGAUUGCCCGCUUAUGAUAGAAGAAAGAGCUUAUACGCCGCUGGUGAGUUUCCCUUUACUUCGAAGGAGUUCAACAUUAAACUUCUGGAAGAAGAUGAUGGAAUUAGAGAUAGGACAUGCAGAGAAUCUAGGCGUCCAAAGGUUGUGGAUUGAGUGUGACUUGGUCGCAGUGGUUACUUUGUUUCAGAACAACAAGGUUCGUUGGAUCGUUCGUCAAAGGUGGUUAGCAUGCAUGAGGUGUUUAGAUCAUGUGGAGCGGAAAAUCAGUCAUUGUUUUCAUGAGGCGAAUUCAAUCGCUGAUUUUCUUUCAAAGACAACAGCUAGGUUUGAGACUUCAGCCCCAGUGACAAUGUGGUUGGCU